RNAcentral lists this ribosomal RNA (819 nucleotides) under uncultured Gammaproteobacteria bacterium. RNAcentral's name for it is "bacterial SSU rRNA". It matches the Rfam family "Bacterial small subunit ribosomal RNA", at positions 64 to 873 of the family's 1533-position model. The record is from RNAcentral. Lineage: Bacteria; Pseudomonadati; Pseudomonadota; Gammaproteobacteria.
GACAUAAAGAUUCAGCUUGCUGAAUCCGGUGCUGACGAGCGGCGAACGGGUGAGUAACGCGUAGGAAUCUACCCAGUAGCGGGGGAUAGCCCGGGGAAACCCGGAUUAAUACCGCAUACGCCCUAAGGGGGAAAGGGGGCAGCUUGCUGCUCUUACUAUUGGAUGAGCCUGCGUAAGAUUAGCUUGUUGGUAGGGUAAUGGCCUACCAAGGCAACGAUCUUUAGCUGGUCUGAGAGGACGAUCAGCCACAUUGGGACUGAGACACGGCCCAGACAUCUACGGAUGGCAGCAGUUAAGAAUAUUGGACAAUGGGGGCAACCCUGAUCCAGGUAUACCGCGUGUGUGAAGAAGGCCCUAGGGUUGUAAAGCACUUUAAUCAGAGAAGAAGCAUUUUAAGUUAAUACCUUAUUAUGUUGACGUUACCUGAAGAAUAAGGACCGGCUAACUCCGUGCCAGCAGCCGCGGUAAUACGGAGGGUCCAAGCGUUAAUCGGAAUUACUGGGCGUAAAGCGCGCGUAGGCGGUUUAGCAAGUUGAAUGUGAAAGCCCUAGGCUCAACCUAGGAACUGCAUUCAAAACUACUGAGCUAGAGUACGAGAGAGGAGAGUAGAAUUUCUGGUGUAGCGGUGAAAUGCGUAGAUAUCAGAAGGAAUACCAAUGGCGAAGGCAGCUCUCUGGCUCGUCACUGACGCUAAGGUGCGAAAGCGUGGGUAGCAAACAGGAUUAGAUACCCUGGUAGUCCACGCCGUAAACGAUGAGAACUAGCCGUUGGACAGAUUUAACUGUUCAGUGGCGCAGCUAACGCAUUAAGUUCUCCGCC